UCCAAAAUUUUAUUGAUGCAAUUUUGUUUUAUUUUAUUUUAUUCAGUUUAGCCUGAUUUGAAGGUGGCUCGGUUUGCAGAGGAUUAAUGAGAAAUUGUUUUUUACCUGGUAGACUUCCUAUAUAAUACUUACAUGUAUCUUACUGAGGUAUAAUGACAGAAACAAGAUGUCCAAGACUUUACAUUCGUCAAUGUUUGAAGAAUGUAAAACAUUAAUGACAGAAAAUUUUUUGAUUGUUGUUCUCUACUGUUCACUGAUUUUUUUCUCAUUUAUUACCUAUUGUGCAAUUUCUGACGUGUUUCAUUGAAUCUUAACA
Amphimedon queenslandica is the source of this 316-nucleotide long non-coding RNA. RefSeq lists it as uncharacterized. NCBI's taxonomy places the organism in Eukaryota, Metazoa, Porifera, Demospongiae, Haplosclerida, Niphatidae. The record is from RefSeq and is a predicted model, not a curated record. The transcript has 2 exons.